RNAcentral lists this ribosomal RNA (460 nucleotides) under uncultured bacterium. Its description in RNAcentral is "partial 16S ribosomal RNA". It matches the Rfam family "Bacterial small subunit ribosomal RNA", at positions 338 to 795 of the family's 1533-position model. The record is from RNAcentral.
CCUACGGGUGGCAGCAGUGAGGAAUAUUGGUCAAUGGGCGCGAGCCUGAACCAGCCAAGUAGCGUGAAGGAUGACUGCCCUACGGGUUGUAAACUUCUUUUAUAAAGGAAUAAAGUGAGGCACGUGUGCCUUUUUGUAUGUACUUUAUGAAUAAGGAUCGGCUAACUCCGUGCCAGCAGCCGCGGUAAUACGGAGGAACCGAGCGUUAUCCGGAUUUAUUGGGUUUAAAGGGAGCGUAGAUGGGUUGUUAAGUCAGUGGUGAAAGUUUGCGGCUCAACCGUAAAAGUGCCAUUGAUACUGGCAGCCUUGAGUACAGUGGAGGUAGGCGGAAUUCGUGGUGUAGCGGUGAAAUGCUUAGAUAUCACGAAGAACACCGAUUGCGAAGGCAGCUUACUAAACUGCAACUGACAUUGAUGCUCGAAAGUGUGGGUAUCAAACAGGAUUAGAUACCCCUGUAGUC